GAAACGCGAUAGUUAAUGUGAAUUGCAGAAUUCAGUGAAUCAUCGAGUCUUUGAACGCACAUUGCGCCCAUAGGUAUUCCUUUGGGCAUGUCUGUUUGAGCGUCAUUACAACCCUCAGCUAACCGCUGGUUUUGAACCUGAACGGGUGACACCGCGCCGGUUUUAAAGUUGUAAGCUCUGUUGGCCGCUCUGCCCAACCAGAACAUAGUAAGCACUACUUGUCCGGGUGAAGCUGAACGGUACGGCCUGAACAAAACCUACCCACUCUCAAGGUUUGACCUCAGAUCAGACAAGGAUACCCGCUGAACUUAAGC
Molecule: unclassified non-coding RNA, 314 nt
Filed under: plant metagenome
Description: partial contains 5.8S ribosomal RNA, internal transcribed spacer 2, and large subunit ribosomal RNA
Rfam family: 5.8S ribosomal RNA (bases 1-105)
Source: RNAcentral